AUUGAACGCUGGCGGCAGGCCUAACACAUGCAAGUCGAGCGGUAGCACAGAGAGCUUGCUCUCGGGUGACGAGCGGCGGACGGGUGAGUAAUGUCUGGGAAACUGCCUGAUGGAGGGGGAUAACUACUGGAAACGGUAGCUAAUACCGCAUAACGUCGCAAGACCAAAGUGGGGGACCUUCGGGCCUCAUGCCAUCAGAUGUGCCCAGAUGGGAUUAGCUAGUAGGUGGGGUAAUGGCUCACCUAGGCGACGAUCCCUAGCUGGUCUGAGAGGAUGACCAGCCACACUGGAACUGAGACACGGUCCAGACUCCUACGGGAGGCAGCAGUGGGGAAUAUUGCACAAUGGGCGCAAGCCUGAUGCAGCCAUGCCGCGUGUGUGAAGAAGGCCUUCGGGUUGUAAAGCACUUUCAGCGGGGAGGAAGGCGUUAAGGUUAAUAACCUUGGCGAUUGACGUUACCCGCAGAAGAAGCACCGGCUAACUCCGUGCCAGCAGCCGCGGUAAUACGGAGGGUGCAAGCGUUAAUCGGAAUUACUGGGCGUAAAGCGCACGCAGGCGGUCUGUCAAGUCGGAUGUGAAAUCCCCGGGCUCAACCUGGGAACUGCAUUCGAAACUGGCAGGCUAGAGUCUUGUAGAGGGGGGUAGAAUUCCAGGUGUAGCGGUGAAAUGCGUAGAGAUCUGGAGGAAUACCGGUGGCGAAGGCGGCCCCCUGGACAAAGACUGACGCUCAGGUGCGAAAGCGUGGGGAGCAAACAGGAUUAGAUACCCUGGUAGUCCACGCCGUAAACGAUGUCGAUUUGGAGGUUGUGCCCUUGAGGCGUGGCUUCCGGAGCUAACGCGUUAAAUCGACCGCCUGGGGAGUACGGCCGCAAGGUUAAAACUCAAAUGAAUUGACGGGGGCCCGCACAAGCGGUGGAGCAUGUGGUUUAAUUCGAUGCAACGCGAAGAACCUUACCUGGUCUUGACAUCCACAGAACUUUCCAGAGAUGGAUUGGUGCCUUCGGGAACUGUGAGACAGGUGCUGCAUGGCUGUCGUCAGCUCGUGUUGUGAAAUGUUGGGUUAAGUCCCGCAACGAGCGCAACCCUUAUCCUUUGUUGCCAGCGGUUAGGCCGGGAACUCAAAGGAGACUGCCAGUGAUAAACUGGAGGAAGGUGGGGAUGACGCCAAGUCAUCAUGGCCCUUACGACCAGGGCUACACACGUGCUACAAUGGCAUAUACAAAGAGAAGCGACCUCGCGAGAGCAAGCGGACCUCAUAAAGUAUGUCGUAGUCCGGAUUGGAGUCUGCAACUCGACUCCAUGAAGUCGGAAUCGCUAGUAAUCGUAGAUCAGAAUGCUACGGUGAAUACGUUCCCGGGCCUUGUACACACCGCCCGUCACACCAUGGGAGUGGGUUGCAAAAGAAGUAGGUAGCUUAACCUUCGGGAGGGCGCUUACCACUUUGUGAUUCAUGACUGGGGUGA
RNAcentral lists this ribosomal RNA (1463 nucleotides) under uncultured Klebsiella sp. Its description in RNAcentral is "bacterial SSU rRNA". It matches the Rfam family "Bacterial small subunit ribosomal RNA". Lineage: Bacteria; Pseudomonadati; Pseudomonadota; Gammaproteobacteria; Enterobacterales; Enterobacteriaceae. The record is from RNAcentral.